CCUACGGGAGGCAGCAGUGGGGAAUAUUGCACAAUGGGGGAAACCCUGAUGCAGCGACGCCGCGUGAAGGAAGAAGUAUUUCGGUAUGUAAACUUCUAUCAGCAGGGAAGAAAAUGACGGUACCUGACUAAGAAGCCCCGGCUAACUACGUGCCAGCAGCCGCGGUAAUACGUAGGGGGCAAGCGUUAUCCGGAUUUACUGGGUGUAAAGGGAGCGUAGGCGGUUUAGCAAGUCAGAAGUGAAAGCCCGGGGCUCAACUCCGGGACUGCUUUUGAAACUGUUGAACUAGAGUGCAGGAGAGGUAAGGGGAAUUCCUAGUGUAGCGGUGAAAUGCGUAGAUAUUAGGAGGAACACCAUGGGCGAGGGCGGCUUACUGGACUGUAAAUGACGCUGAGGCUCGAAAGCGUGGGGAGCAAACAGGAUUAGAUACCCGGGUAGUC
RNAcentral lists this ribosomal RNA (440 nucleotides) under uncultured bacterium. RNAcentral describes it as "partial 16S ribosomal RNA". It matches the Rfam family "Bacterial small subunit ribosomal RNA", at positions 338 to 795 of the family's 1533-position model. The record is from RNAcentral.